RNAcentral lists this transfer RNA (73 nucleotides) under Cordylochernes scorpioides. RNAcentral describes it as "tRNA-Thr". It matches the Rfam family "tRNA". Rfam says of the family: Transfer RNA (tRNA) molecules are approximately 80 nucleotides in length. The record is from RNAcentral. Lineage: Eukaryota; Metazoa; Arthropoda; Arachnida; Pseudoscorpiones; Chernetidae.
UCCAGGGUAGCCUAGUGGACAUGGCAUCUGCACGGUAUGUGAAACACUGUGGGUUCGAUUCCCAUCCCUGGAC